CAGUCGCCGCGGUAAUGCGUAGGUGGCGAGCGUUGUCCGGAAUCAUUGGGCGUAAAGGGAGCGCAGGCGGGCAUAUAAGUCUUUCUUAAAAGUUCGGGGCUCAACCCCGUGAUGGGAAAGAAACUAUACGUCUUGAGUACAGGAGAGGAAAGCGGAAUUCCCAGUGUAGCGGUGAAAUGCGUAGAUAUUGGGAGGAACACCAACGGCGAAAGCACUCUGCUGGGCCGACACUGACACUGAGAGACGAAAGCUAGGGGAGCAGAUGGGAUUAGAUACCCCUGUAGUCCCUGUCUCUUAUACA
RNAcentral lists this ribosomal RNA (301 nucleotides) under uncultured bacterium. Its description in RNAcentral is "partial 16S ribosomal RNA". It matches the Rfam family "Bacterial small subunit ribosomal RNA", at positions 509 to 808 of the family's 1533-position model. The record is from RNAcentral.